RNAcentral lists this unclassified non-coding RNA (294 nucleotides) under Hevea brasiliensis (rubber tree). The record is from RNAcentral. Lineage: Eukaryota; Viridiplantae; Streptophyta; Magnoliopsida; Malpighiales; Euphorbiaceae.
AUGGCAUGUUCAGUGAUUCAGAUUUAGAGAUAAUAAAGAGACUGUCCGGAUGCUUAAAUCAUAGCCCGGAAAAAGUGACGCAACAAGGUGAACAUGAAUCACUUAACCGAGACAUACUGGCUAUUUUGGGAGAAAAAUGGGAGUUUGACCCGAUCAUCGACUUGAGCAAUCCAUUCCCUGACAACAAUGGCUCUGUUCAUAUUUGGCAAGGCCGUGAAGACCGUGUCGUUGCUCUUGAGUUUAAUCGUUUUAUAGCAGAGAAACUUCCUUGGAUUCAAUAUCAUGAAGUUCCUG